RNAcentral lists this ribosomal RNA (392 nucleotides) under uncultured bacterium. RNAcentral's name for it is "partial 16S ribosomal RNA". It matches the Rfam family "Bacterial small subunit ribosomal RNA", at positions 523 to 918 of the family's 1533-position model. The record is from RNAcentral.
ACACGUAGGGGCCUGACGUUGUUCGGAAUCAUUGGGCGUAAAGGGCGCGCAGGCGGCCGUCCAAGUCCGGUGUUAAAUGGUCGGGCUCAACCCGAUCAUGCGCUGGAAACUGGGCGGCUGGAGUCCCGGAGGGGAUGCCGGAAUUCCAGGGGUAGGGGGGAAAUCUGUAGAUAUCUGGAAGAACACCGAUGGGGAAGGCAGGCAUCCGGCCGGAGACGGAGGCUGAGGCGCGAAGGCGCAGGGAGCAAACAGGUUUAGAUUCCCUGGUAGUCCGCGCAGUAAACGAUGCGCACCAGGUGUCGGGCGGCAGCGCCCGGUGCCGGAGCAAACGCGAUGAGUGCGCCGCCUGGGGAGUAUGCCCGCAAGGGUGAAACUCAAAUGAAUUGACGGGG